UACGGAGGAUGCGAGCGUUAUCCGGAUUUAUUGGGUUUAAAGGGUGCGUAGGCGGAGUGCCAAGUCAGCGGUAAAAAUUCGGGGCUCAACCCCGUCGUGCCGUUGAAACUGGCGCCCUUGAGUGGGCGAGAAGUAUGCGGAAUGCGUGGUGUAGCGGUGAAAUGCAUAGAUAUCACGCAGAACCCCGAUUGCGAAGGCAGCAUACCGGCACCCGACUGACGCUGAAGCACGAAAGCGUGGGUAUCGAACCGG
This 252-nucleotide ribosomal RNA is filed under the name uncultured bacterium. RNAcentral describes it as "partial 16S ribosomal RNA". It matches the Rfam family "Bacterial small subunit ribosomal RNA", at positions 524 to 776 of the family's 1533-position model. The record is from RNAcentral.